GACGAACGCUGGCGGCGUGCCUAAUACAUGCAAGUCGAGCGAAGUUUUUCUGGUGCUUGCACUAGAAAAACUUAGCGGCGAACGGGUGAGUAACACGUAAAGAACCUGCCUCAUAGACGGGGACAACUAUUGGAAACGAUAGCUAAUACCGGAUAACAGCAUAAAUCGCAUGAUAUAUGUUUAAAAGUUGGUUUCGGCUAACACUAUGAGAUGGCUUUGCGGUGCAUUAGCUAGUUGGUGGGGUAAAGGCCUACCAAGGCGACGAUGCAUAGCCGACCUGAGAGGGUGAUCGGCCACACUGGGACUGAGACACGGCCCAGACUCCUACGGGAGGCAGCAGUAGGGAAUCUUCCGCAAUGGGCGAAAGCCUGACGGAGCAACGCCGCGUGAGUGAAGAAGGAUUUCGGUUCGUAAAGCUCUGUUGUUAGGGAAGAAUGAUUGUGUAGUAACUAUACACAGUAGAGACGGUACCUAACCAGAAAGCCACGGCUAACUACGUGCCAGCAGCCGCGGUAAUACGUAGGUGGCAAGCGUUGUCCGGAAUUAUUGGGCGUAAAGCGCGCGCAGGUGGUUUAAUAAGUCUGAUGUGAAAGCCCACGGCUCAACCGUGGAGGGUCAUUGGAAACUGUUAAACUUGAGUGCAGGAGAGAAAAGUGGAAUUCCUAGUGUAGCGGUGAAAUGCGUAGAGAUUAGGAGGAACACCAGUGGCGAAGGCGGCUUUUUGGCCUGUAACUGACACUGAGGCGCGAAAGCGUGGGGAGCAAACAGG
This 769-nucleotide ribosomal RNA is filed under the name uncultured bacterium. Its description in RNAcentral is "bacterial SSU rRNA". It matches the Rfam family "Bacterial small subunit ribosomal RNA", at positions 28 to 776 of the family's 1533-position model. The record is from RNAcentral.